ACAAUUUAAUAAUGCUAGAAAACCCAAAGUGUUAAGAAACUCUGGAAAAACUAAUCACAAAGGACCCAAAAGACUCUGGGUACCAAAGGAUAACGUUGUUUAUGUUGCAGAUAUCUUAUGCAGCAGAGUUAAAACACCAGUCAUGGUACCUGGACUCUAGAUGCUCGCGACACAUGACGGGAAGAAAGUCUAUGUUCUAAAGCCUGGAACUUAAAGAUGCUGGAUUCGUAGGCUUCGAAGGAGACCAGAAAGGAAGGAUCAGAGGCUCCUG
Molecule: long non-coding RNA, 271 nt
Filed under: Lathyrus oleraceus (garden pea)
Lineage: Eukaryota; Viridiplantae; Streptophyta; Magnoliopsida; Fabales; Fabaceae
Description: Pisum sativum (pea) long non-coding RNA (PSAT_LNC027504)
Source: RNAcentral